AAGUCGUAACAAGGUUUCCGUAGGUGAACCUGCGGAAGGAUCAUUAAAGAAUUAGGCUUCGCGGCCAAGUUCUCACCCUUUGUAUGCCGAAACCAUGUUGCUUUGGCAGGCCCCGCUUCUUCUGGCCGGUCGCCAGAGGUUAUAAGCCCACUAGAAUCUCUGCUGUCUGAGUACUAUACAAUAGUUAAAA
This 190-nucleotide unclassified non-coding RNA is filed under the name plant metagenome. RNAcentral describes it as "partial contains small subunit ribosomal RNA and internal transcribed spacer 1". The stretch from base 1 to 46 matches the Rfam family "Eukaryotic small subunit ribosomal RNA", at positions 1786 to 1831 of the family's 1831-position model. The record is from RNAcentral.